Molecule: long non-coding RNA, 172 nt
Organism: Culex pipiens pallens (northern house mosquito)
Lineage: Eukaryota; Metazoa; Arthropoda; Insecta; Diptera; Culicidae
Exons: 2
Source: RefSeq, a predicted model, not a curated record
CAAAUUUAGUGUCACUCAAAUAAAUCUCCAAAAAGUCGAUCGCUUCUUCAACAGGUUUCAAAUGUUCCGCAACGUCUGUUAUUUGCCGAUGAAAAAUUUUUCGCUGAAAAUAGAUUUUAUUGUAAAGGUAGCUUACGAAAUACUGGAAUAUUCACCAUUAGCUCAGCGUCCC